Molecule: non-coding RNA, 97 nt
Organism: Mycena capillaripes
Lineage: Eukaryota; Fungi; Basidiomycota; Agaricomycetes; Agaricales; Mycenaceae
Source: the annotation of a GenBank genome assembly
UCGGACGUGGUGCACGGCGCACACCCACUUGUCGUGCUUCGGUCCACAAGAAAUUAUGAAAUGAGUGGCAGCCCGGGUUCGAAUCCUGGCGUUCGAA